Molecule: small RNA, 38 nt
Filed under: Arabidopsis thaliana (thale cress)
Lineage: Eukaryota; Viridiplantae; Streptophyta; Magnoliopsida; Brassicales; Brassicaceae
Description: ATSL085090
Source: RNAcentral
CUGUUAGGUUUAGCUGGUCUUGAUAGAGUUUCGUAUCU